Molecule: long non-coding RNA, 590 nt
Filed under: Junco hyemalis (dark-eyed junco)
Lineage: Eukaryota; Metazoa; Chordata; Aves; Passeriformes; Passerellidae
Description: lncRNA (ENSJHYG00000011223.1)
Source: RNAcentral
CUUUUUCUCCAUUUUUGUAACUUUGCCUCCCUGUACCCCAAUUUUGGGCGGAUUUCAGACACUUUUGGGUCAUUUCUCUCAGUUUUGGGUGGUUUCAGGUGCAUUUCUCAGUUCUGGGCGGAUUUCUCUCAGUUUUGGGCCAUUUUGGGUAAUUUUCAUUUAAUUUUGGAUCCAUUUCACUCCAUUUUAGGUCACUUUCACUCCAUUUUGGGUGGAUUUCACUCAGUUUUGGGCCAGCUUCGCUCAAUUUUGAGUAAUUUCAGGUGGGUUUCACUCCAUUUUGGGUGGGUUUAUCUCAAUUUUGGUUCAUUUUCUCUCAUUUUCACUCCAUUUUCUGUCACUUUCACUCCAUUCUGGGUGGGUUUCCCUCCAAUUUGGGUCAUUUUCUCUCAGUUUUGGGUGGUUUCAAGUGGGUUUGUCUCCAUUUUGUGUCACUUUCACUCCAUUUUGGGUGGGUUUCACUCAGUUUUGGUUCAUUUUCUGUCACUUUCACUCCAUUUUGGGUGGGUUUCUCUCAAUUUUGGGUGGAUUUCUCUCAAUUUCAGUUCAUUUUCUUUUACUUUUACUCCAUGUUGGGUGGGUUUCUCUCA